This is an RNA transcript of Sapajus apella (tufted capuchin), 2556 nucleotides long. It is a transcript of the gene named PEST proteolytic signal containing nuclear protein, with no coding region annotated. The transcript is spliced from 5 exons. The record is from RefSeq and is a predicted model, not a curated record. NCBI's taxonomy places the organism in Eukaryota, Metazoa, Chordata, Mammalia, Primates, Cebidae.
CAGUCUUCGGGACCGCUCUAGGCUGCCACCGCGCCGGCUGGCUCCAAAACUCAAUGGUUUCUGGGCGGGGUCGUGACGUCCUUGGCGUGGCGGCAGGGGAGGCCGCGGCGGGGAAAAUGGCGGACGGGAAGGCGGGAGAGGAGAAGCCCGAAAAGUCGCAGCGAGCUGGAGCCGCCGGAGUUAAUUCAUGGGAGCCUCUUCUACUGCCACACAAUCUCAGUUCCUGCUGUAUACUCUAACAAACAGUGGAAGAGACUGUUGGGUCAGUAGGUGACAACUGCAGAGGUAUCUUCCUUAUAACGAUGCUUUUUGAGGUUGCUGCUCCCAUCAAUCUGCUCAGUAAAAAUAGCUCAUCUUGGUAAGUUGUUUCGACUUCACCAGGACCUGAAGAAGAAGCAGAAAAACCUGUGAAAACUAAGACUGUUUCUUCCAGUAAUGGAGGGGAAAGUUCCAGUCGCAGCGCUGAGAAGCGAUCAGCUGAAGAAGAAGCUGCAGACCUCCCAACAAAGCCUACAAAGAUCUCCAAGUUUGGAUUUGCCAUAGGUAGUCAGACGACAAAGAAAGCAUCAGCCAUAUCCAUCAAACUUGGAUCAAGUAAGCCUAAAGAAACUGUUCCAACUCUUGCUCCUAAAACACUUUCAGUAGCAGCAGCUUUUAAUGAAGAUGAAGAUAGUGAACCAGAAGAAAUGCCUCCAGAAGCAAAGAUGAGGAUGAAGAAUAUUGGAAGGGAUACACCAACAUCAGCUGGACCAAACUCUUUCAAUAAAGGAAAGCAUGGGUUUUCUGAUAACCAGAAGCUAUGGGAGCGAAAUAUAAAAUCUCAUCUUGGAAAUGUCCAUGACCAAGACAAUUAAAUGAUGUUUUGAAAUUGGGGCGUGGGGUGGGUGUAAAGUUAAAAGGAACAGUUUCCUUUUUUAAAGAAUGGUAUAAGACUAUCUUUGGAGCCGCUUUUUUUUUCUUUUUCAUUUUUUUAAAAGAUUGAGUGGUACACUAAUAAAUGAGAGUUUGAAAUUAGAGGUAAUUUAUGUUUUAUAUACGGAUUUCAAGACAUUUGCUAAUUUUGUAGUUUCAUGUGAUUAGUUUCCAAAGGCUACAGAUAAUAAAGAAAUCAGAAAUGGUACCUUUUUAAGAAUUGCAUAUUUUUUUAGACACAACUAUUAGCACAUUAAGAGGGAAGCAAAAAGUUAUUGUCUAUUUAAAACUGCAAGCAGUUACCCUCAACUCCCUUAUUACGUAAACUUGUCUGGCUCCCAGGAACAGCCUUAUAGAGAGAGGGAGUAUUGUAUUGGGAGGAAAAUGUUAAUGAACUAUUGACUGAAAGUAAAUUUAGAUCAAAUUGAAAUACAGCUUUUUUCCUUAUGGGCAUUUGUUUUGUUUCAAGUCAUCAUAAACUAGGUAUUGCAUUGCUGUCAGUGGAUACAGACGCUUAGCUCUUAAAAGAAUUUUUUUUUAAUGUAAACUGUUGAAUGAACUAGCCCACUUCACCUUAAUGGGUCUUGUCUAUCUUCAUAGUCUUCAAAAAAAAAACCCAUUUGCUACCAAAGUAAAUCAGUAUUUUGAAUGUGCUUCUCUUGUUUUUUGUUUAUUAGCUAGUUCCUGUAAGCAUUUCCACCAGAACUUGAGGCAAAUCAUAAGGAAGCUGUUUCUUUUAAAAUACAAACCACCACCAAAAACUUAAAUGUACAUAUUGCUUAAGUAUUUGGCUGUUUUUAUUUUUUAAAGGGUAUCAACACCAAAAAAAAAAAAAAAAAAAAAAAUUAACAUUGUAUGAAGAUGGAAAACAAGAAGAUGCACUUUCUGUUACUUUGUCUAAGGAUUUAAAUUACUGACUUGUGACAUCCAAUUUGAAAUGAACUUAACUACCGGCUUUCUUACUAGUAAAGUUAUAUUGUUUAUUUUAAAUGUAUACAUAUUGACCAAUGGCCUCUCAAAAAGCACAUUUUAGAUACUGAAAUAGAAAGAAAGAAAAUGCAUCUUCAAACAUUUUUUGGAAUCUCACCACAUAUACUUUGUUAGAUUUGUGUAUUGUAGGGUGUUUGUUUUUGUAUUUUUGUAUUGUAUAUGAACUUUUUUUUAAUGUGACAGUUAAACAUCUUUAAAAGCAUAGUCACAGACAAAAGAAACAUACAGUAUAAAAAUUUUUUUGAAAACUCCUACAAUAUUGUAUUUGGAGGCAGCUUCAGACUGUUUUAUUGGUGGUAACUGCUCGCCGAGCUCUUUCACUUGGUAAUAACUUCAGAAAAGAAGGCUGUGUAUAUUCCUAACACUUUGUUCACUAGCAUUUAAGUUUAGAAUAAGCCCCAAGUAAAACAAUGGAAAUGUAUAUAGAACUCUUAGUUCUGACAUGAUUUAAUUAUAUCAAGAUACAUGAAUUUAACUUACUUUAAUGUAGGCAGACUCUGUUUUUGUCCAUUUUCCUGUUUGUUAAAAUAACAUACCUCUCCUACAUAUUCUUUUCUUGACCCAAAUGAAAUAUUAACCUAAGGUCAAGCUGGGAGAGAGAAACGACUGAGAUGAAUGUCUUUACUAAAAUACCAAUAAAUUUGUCAAGCUCAA